RNAcentral lists this long non-coding RNA (310 nucleotides) under Scleropages formosus (Asian bonytongue). RNAcentral describes it as "lncRNA (ENSSFOG00015031639.1)". Lineage: Eukaryota; Metazoa; Chordata; Actinopteri; Osteoglossiformes; Osteoglossidae. The record is from RNAcentral.
CCUGAUCGUCUAAUGAAGUUGAAGGAGCGCAGCGAUUUCCAUUAGCGUCGAAAUUGCAAAGAAGUUCAUUAAAGUAAGUGAAGAAGUAAAAUGUUGCAUAGGAUCUGCCUUCUCAAAGAUGCCAUACUCGUAGUUGCAAAGAACAGAUAAAGCUAGAAGUGAUCUACAUUAUCUUACAAAAAAGACAAGGACAUCCUGAGUGCCAAUAAUAUCCAAGAAAAGCAGCCACCAUUACGGUUAGAUCCUCUUGUAGGAGACCAGAGUGCUACAUGUUUUUCAGCCAACGAGCAGCAUUCUGAUCACACCACUC